This 468-nucleotide ribosomal RNA is filed under the name uncultured bacterium. Its description in RNAcentral is "partial 16S ribosomal RNA". It matches the Rfam family "Bacterial small subunit ribosomal RNA", at positions 28 to 507 of the family's 1533-position model. The record is from RNAcentral.
GACGAACGCUGGCGGCGUGCUUAACACAUGCAAGUCGAACGGAAAGGCCCUGCUUUUGCGGGGUGCUCGAUUGGCGAACGGGUGAGUAACACGUGAGUAACCUGCCCUUGACUUUGGGAUAACUUCAGGAAACUGGGGCUAAUACCGGAUAUGAGCUCCUGCUGCAUGGUGGGGGUUGGAAAGUUUCGGCGGUUGGGGAUGGACUCGCGGCUUAUCAGCUUGUUGGUGGGGUAGUGGCUUACCAAGGCUUUGACGGGUAGCCGGCCUGAGAGGGUGACCGGCCACAUUGGGACUGAGAUACGGCCCAGACUCCUACGGGAGGCAGCGGUGGGGAAUAUUGCACAAUGGGCGGAAGCCUGAUGCAGCAACGCCGCGUGCGGGAUGACGGCCUUCGGGUUGUAAACCGCUUUCGCCUGUGACGAAGCGUGAGUGACGGUAAUGGGUAAAGAAGCACCGGCUAACUACGUG